RNAcentral lists this ribosomal RNA (468 nucleotides) under uncultured bacterium. RNAcentral's name for it is "partial 16S ribosomal RNA". It matches the Rfam family "Bacterial small subunit ribosomal RNA", at positions 28 to 507 of the family's 1533-position model. The record is from RNAcentral.
GACGAACGCUGGCGGCGUGCUUAACGCAUGCAAGUCGAACGGAAAGGCCCUGCUUUUGUGGGGUGCUCGAGUGGCGAACGGGUGAGUAACACGUGAGUAACCUGCCCUUGACUUUGGGAUAACUUCAGGAAACUGGGGCUAAUACCGGAUAGGAGCUCCUGCUGCAUGGUGGGGGUUGGAAAGUUUCGGCGGUUGGGGAUGGACGCGCGGCUUAUCAGCUUGUUGGUGGGGUAGUGGCUUACCAAGGCUUUGACGGGUAGCCGGCCUGAGAGGGUGACCGGCCACAUUGGGACUGAGAUACGGCCCAGACUCCUACGGGAGGCAGCAGUGGGGAAUAUUGCACAAUGGGCGGAAGCCUGAGGCGGCAACGCCGCGUGCGGGAUGACGGCCUUCGGGUUGUAAACCGCUUUCGCCUGUGACGAAGCGUGAGUGACGGUAAUGGGUAAAGAAGCACCGGCUAACUACGUG